This 301-nucleotide ribosomal RNA is filed under the name uncultured bacterium. RNAcentral describes it as "partial 16S ribosomal RNA". It matches the Rfam family "Bacterial small subunit ribosomal RNA", at positions 509 to 807 of the family's 1533-position model. The record is from RNAcentral.
CAGUCGCCGCGGUAAUACGUAGGUGGCAAGCGUUGUCCGGAAUUAUUGGGCGUAAAGGGCUCGCAGGCGGUUUCUUAAGUCUGAUGUGAAAGCCCCCGGCUCAACCGGGGAGGGUCAUUGGAAACUGGGAAACUUGAGUGCAGAGGAGGAGAGUGGAAUUCCACGUGUAGCGGUGAAAUGCGUAGAGAUGUGGAGGAACACCAGUGGCGAAGGCGACUCUCUGGUCUGUAACUGACGCUGUGGAGCGAAAGCGUGGGGAGCGAACAGGAUUAGAUACCCCGGUAGUCCCUGUCUCUUAUAC